RNAcentral lists this long non-coding RNA (653 nucleotides) under Hordeum vulgare. RNAcentral's name for it is "long non-coding RNA (HVUL_LNC014028)". Lineage: Eukaryota; Viridiplantae; Streptophyta; Magnoliopsida; Poales; Poaceae. The record is from RNAcentral.
UCAAGGUCGGCAGUUUCUCAUACUUGACUUGAUACCUCACUCUUUCAUCCCCUUUCUUGCCACUUACAAACCUCUUGAUUUUUUGCAUUGAUAUCGAUGCUUACCCUAACUCUGACAAACUCCCCAAAGAAUCCUACCAGGAGCUUCAAUUGCACCUCUUCUACCUUCCCAACCCAUGAGGCUCAGUCAGGAAUUUGUCGGGUAGUCCAUGUAUAUGUGCCCAUACAACUAACCUAUCGAGCUUUAUCGAAUCAGGGUUCCUGAAACCGUCAUACUCCUUCAAGAUCACUGCUUGCUCCCGAAACAGCCAUGGCCCUUCAACAUCACCUUGUUCGAGUGUGCGAGGCACCCAAAUUGAGUCGUGAAUAGAUUUUCUUUGAUUCUCCUCCACACUACCUAUUUUUCCGGAUUACAGGCCGUCCUCAAGUCGUCGUACAAUGCAUCAGGGUUGAAGGUUUUGGUAGUGUGAACGCAUGCAAUCGCUAGCCACUUCGCCAGCUCAACCAUGUCCGGCAACUCCUCCCAGAUGAAAUCAUCCUCCUCUUCUUCCUGCAGCAUGAGACAAGACAAGAGUUCCUCCUCAGAUUCCUUGCUCCUUCUCCCUUGUGAUCCAGCGCCUUCCGUCAUUGUCACCAGAUCCGAUCUCGUCGCCG